GUCCACCUCCCCACCGGUGACGAAUUCUGAGAUUGUGUCCACUAGGACGGACAGUUCCAAAAGAGCAGAAUCGUGGGACUUUAAUGUGCUGAUGGGAAUUCGAGUGACGGUGGCAGUCUGUGUGCCUGUGGCCGUGCUUCUCUUUCUCUGGUGCGGAAUGUGUGGCUCGUGAGAAGGUUGGACCACACAGAACAUUGUGGGCUGUCUACGCACAGUGAGAUCCCACUAUCCCCAGAAUUCAGGACCCUUGGCACUUAUACAUUCUCUCCUCUUCCACUGCCCGUCAGCAGAAGAUACAAACAGUUCAAACUGGUCCAACCAGACUCAAGGACAACGUCUGUCCCGCCAUCACCAAACGUCUGGGACCCAAGAAGAUGAACGCGUGAUCUGUGUCUUGGUAUUUGUGACAAUCGUAAACCAGUUACCAACAAUAGGCAGCAGAUACGAGCUGCUCCUUAAAUGGCAAGAGGAGUUGAGUGAUAAAUUUGCACUUAGUGGCCACUUCUACCUACACCCGAUCAAUGCAAAUAUCUAAUCUAUCUAAUUGAUUCCUAAGCUCCAGAACCUGGAUCUCAGCACUCAGAUCUGCAGCUGGAUCUUCAACUUCCUCACAGACAGGACCCAGGCUGUAAAGAUAGGGGACAAGCUCUCCUCUACAAUCACUCUGAGCACUGGUGCCCCACAAGGCUGUUUACUCAGCCCCCUGCUGUACUCACUGUACACCCACGAUUGUGUAGCCAAGUUUUCAUCGGACUCAAUAUAUAAGUUUGCUGAUGACACAACAAUUGUAGGCCAUAUCUUGGGUAAUGAUGAGUCUGAGUACAGAGAGGAAUUUAAGAACCUGGUGGCAUGGUGCGAAGACAA
Hypanus sabinus (Atlantic stingray) is the source of this 864-nucleotide long non-coding RNA. RefSeq lists it as uncharacterized. NCBI's taxonomy places the organism in Eukaryota, Metazoa, Chordata, Chondrichthyes, Myliobatiformes, Dasyatidae. The transcript is spliced from 3 exons. The record is from RefSeq and is a predicted model, not a curated record.